AUGAGCAAGUAUGGGGCCCCACUGCCUUGGAUGUGCUGUGGUCCAGAUGUGGAUUGGGGUGCACUAGUAGCUUCUGUUAGUUUAAAAUAACAGAUGAGUAGGAUGCCAUGAAUGGCAUUCAAAGACAUGGAGAAAGUCACAACAGGUUUGAUCCUGAGAGGUAGCGCACAGAACAUUAGAUUUGGCGGCCUCACAAGGCUAGGAUUCCUGGGGCCUUUUUAAUGAAGUUGUGACAGUGAAACCCGAUUAACCUUGUAGUGCAGACAUAGCAUAAAUAGCAUUGCUUCCACCUGGUGCUGAUAUUUAAGAUAUAUAUUUUUUAAAAUCUGCAAUUAAAACGGUUCUCUUUCCUGUUCCUUUUUCGUGUGUGCUUGGAAUCUCUGCAUGAGGGCAGAUCGGCCGAGUGACUCCUGUGUAAUUACAAAGAGUUGAAGAAGGUCUUUGAAGUUGCUUCCAGCUCUGUAGUUCUAUGAUUUACAGCCUGUAGGCAUCUGUAAACCAUUCAAGCCAAUGUAUCCCCUCCUAAGCCUGCUUAGUCCAAUUGAUUUUCGUAUUGCCUUAGCAAAAGCUGGCAUGGUCCCACUGACUUCAGUGGGGCUAAGCUCAUUAAAGUAGUUUGUCAAUUUUGCUGUGAGCUUCAUUAAUGGAUCCUGGUUUCUUUAGAAGUUUCGGAAUGUAUGAAUUCUGUGGUGUUUCAUAUAGAGUAUGUCCUGCUUACACACUUCUUUGAGAUAGCUGUGCAUUCCUCUACAUGCCUACCAAGAAGUAAAUUUCUGUUGAGUUCAGUGAGCUUUACAUCCAGGAUAGUUUAUAUAAGACUGCAGCCUAAAUUUUUCUGAGUUCAGUUAGAUAUACUUGUGAGUAAGGAUGGGUAGAAAUUUGGUUCACUUCACAUUUUUAUGCAAACCCAUGUAAUUUGUACUUCUAAUUUAUGAACGAAACAGUGCACAAAUUGUUUUGCUGCUAUCAUUCUGAAUUCACUCUUCUCUGAAAUUUGCCAUGCGGUUCUUCAACCAAAUAAAAUGUACCAAAGGCAAUGCAUACAUUAGGAGAAAGUGUGUAUUGCAGUGUAUAUAUUACUGAAAUACAACAUACAAAAAUGUGUUAUGGCCAGGGAAAUUACUUCCAGAAACUUGUAUAUGCAGUGAAAUUUUACACAAAACCAUGCAUUUUACAAGAAAUUCACACUGAUGAUGAAUUUUCAUGAGGACUCUCUUUAAAAAAAAAAAAAUCCUCACACUGAUGCAAAAAUGUGGUGAAAUAUAUUUAGGACUGGAAAAAUGAGAAACUGGGAGGAAAAACAAAAUUGACACACACACGCACACAUAUAUGUUUGAUACACUGUAGGUGGGCAAACAUGUUUCUUCGUGCUAAAGCUGUUGCUAGAGCAGACCUGAACAACUUGUCGCCCAUGUCAAAAACAGCCCACAAAGUUGUCACUUCUCCCCAGUUUUUGCAGUCUCAGAUUACCAGUAAAAAACAAAGCAAGUAGAGUUCAUUCCUUGAUAUCUCCAGUUAAAACAUUUCAGGUAAUGAUGCCAAUAUGUAUUGCACUGACCAUUGGUAAAUAACAAGAACAAAGAAUUAUGUAAGUUCCACACGUAUAGAUUUAUUUAUUUAUUUAUUUAUUUAUUUAUUUAUUUAUUUAGAUUUAUUUCAAAUCUAAAUAUUAUGGGUGGGAAAUGUUUAGAUCACAUUAACAACUAUGGACAAACAAUCUGUUUCCAUGCCAUGAGGCUUUUGCAUGUGUGUGUGAUGUGUGUGUGUUCACAUAUUAAUCCAUGUCGUUCCAUUUCUAUCUCAAUCUGUAAUUUCUAAAAAUUUGCACCAAAGUUCACAUUUAAGUGCAUAUUUUAAAUAUGUCUUUUUUUCAGAAAAAUGCAUUUCUAAACACCUUAUCUCAAAAAUAUGCAUUAUAAAUGUAUGUUGAUACUUUUUUCCAGUCAAGAACUACCAUCAGAAUAUUCAGGAAGUGUGAAUAUCUGUAGAUAACCAAGUUACAAUCUGCCCAUUAGUUCAGGAUAGGGAUGAAGGAGAAUUACCAGCCUAAUGUCCAUUUCCUGGACUGAUGCAUUGAUUGGAAAGUAAUUAUCCCUUAGAUUUCACACCUUUCUGGAUUUUACAAUACACAGAUAAAAAAAGGUAUAAACGUCUGUAAAAAAGGUGUAUUGCUUAUUUGUGCCAUUUCUGAUACUUUGAAUUGUAAUAAGUUUGUAUUAAAUUGCCUUAAUAGUAUGCUGAAUUUGUUUGCUUUUGCCUUAUUUCUAUGCUAUUUUGCUUUCGAUAUAAUUAUAUGGAUUGUAGCAGUUGAUCAUUUUCUUUAAUUUAUUUAUUUAUUUAUUUAUUUAUACAUAC
Molecule: long non-coding RNA, 2355 nt
Filed under: Podarcis lilfordi (Lilford's wall lizard)
Lineage: Eukaryota; Metazoa; Chordata; Lepidosauria; Squamata; Lacertidae
Source: RNAcentral